AUGCCCCUCGCUCACGCCAGGACUCGUCAUCGCCGCCGAUCGAGUUCCUCGCUGAACCCCGCUCGCCGGUGUCCCGUUCCCGUCCGGAUCCAGAGGAUCCCGUCGCCUGUUGCCGGCUCCUCACAGGGUUUCGAGAGCUGCUGCUCGCUUGGACCGCUGCCCUGCCAAGACGAAGACUGCCCUGUACCGUUGCCUCGCUGGAUCGUCGAGAUCGUCUCGGAUUGCGCAAGUACACGGGAGGCCUGUGCGUUUUUCGUUGCUUCAUACCCGUUGAAUCGUCAAGGCCUCUGCUCGACUCCGUGUUCAACUACACGGUGA
RNAcentral lists this ribosomal RNA (318 nucleotides) under Triticum aestivum (bread wheat). RNAcentral describes it as "partial small subunit ribosomal RNA". Lineage: Eukaryota; Viridiplantae; Streptophyta; Magnoliopsida; Poales; Poaceae. The record is from RNAcentral.